CUCUGGGACAAUGAAUCAGC
RNAcentral lists this small nuclear RNA (20 nucleotides) under Arabidopsis thaliana (thale cress). Its description in RNAcentral is "snRNA_08727". The record is from RNAcentral. Lineage: Eukaryota; Viridiplantae; Streptophyta; Magnoliopsida; Brassicales; Brassicaceae.